AACGAACGCUGGCGGCAUGCCUAAUACAUGCAAGUCGAACGAUCACUUCGGUGGUAGUGGCGCACGGGUGCGUAACGCGUGGGAAUCUGCCCUUGGGUUCGGAAUAACGUCGGGAAACUGACGCUAAUACCGGAUGAUGAAGUAAGUCCAAAGAUUUAUCGCCCAGGGAUGAGCCCGCGUAGGAUUAGCUAGUUGGUGGGGUAAAGGCUUACCAAGGCGACUAUCCUUAGCUGGUCUGAGAGGAUGAUCAGCCACACUGGGACUGAGACACGGCCCAGACUCCUACGGGAGGCAGCAGUAGGGAAUAUUGGACAAUGGGGGCAACCCUGAUCCAGCAAUGCCGCGUGAGUGAUGAAGGCCUUAGGGUUGUAAAGCUCUUUUACCCGGGAUGAUAAUGACAGUACCGGGAGAAUAAGCCCCGGCUAACUCCGUGGCAGCCGCCGCCGUAA
Molecule: ribosomal RNA, 449 nt
Filed under: uncultured bacterium
Lineage: Bacteria
Description: partial 16S ribosomal RNA
Rfam family: Bacterial small subunit ribosomal RNA
Source: RNAcentral